Molecule: ribosomal RNA, 498 nt
Filed under: uncultured bacterium
Lineage: Bacteria
Description: partial 16S ribosomal RNA
Rfam family: Bacterial small subunit ribosomal RNA
Source: RNAcentral
AUUGAACGCUGGCGGCAUGCCUUACACAUGCAAGUCGAACGGUAACAGGUCUUCGGAUGCUGACGAGUGGCGAACGGGUGAGUAAUACAUCGGAACGUGCCUAGUAGUGGGGGAUAACUACUCGAAAGAGUGGCUAAUACCGCAUGAGAUCUACGGUUGAAAGCAGGGGAUCGCAAGACCUUGUGCUACUAGAGCGGCCGAUGGCAGAUUAGGUAGUUGGUGGGAUAAAAGCUUACCAAGCCGACGAUCUGUAGCUGGUCUGAGAGGACGAUCAGCCACACUGGGACUGAGACACGGCACAGACUCCUACGGGAGGCAGAAGUGGGGAAUUUUGGACAAUGGGCGCAAGCCUGAGCCAGCAAUGCCGCGUGCAGGAUGAAGGCCUUCGGGUUGUAAACUGCUUUUGUACGGAACGAAAAGCCCCGGGUUAAUACCCUGGGGUCAUGACGGUACCGUAAGAAUAAGCACCGGCUAACUACGUGCCAGCAGCCGCAGUAA